CAUAUUACUGCUGCGAGAGUGUGUGAAGGAUUCUACUCUACUAAACAAGAUCAAAGGUCUGAGAGUGGAUACAGACAGAAGAGCUGAAAGCAACAAUCAGUUUUCAUUCUCAGGAUCUCCAUACUCUCUGCUUCACAAUGUAUGGUUUAAUAAUUCCAGUCAGGAUGAAGAUGAGGAACUUUUAUCAUCUGACGACUCCGUUGAUGGACUCACAACUCAUACUGAUUCAACAUCCAGUUCGCCCACUGACUCCAGUGUUACCAUAACGAACAGCAUCAACACUGUGCAUGCUGGUGAGGAUCAGUCAAUUUAUCCUCAGGAGGAAUCAUUUGACUCUUUUGAGUUUGAAUCAGACUCUACGGCAUCUGAACAAGACUCUCCAGUCCAAGACAAAUUACCCAUCUAUAGUCCACAGGACGGGCCGUUUCCCUUCAGCAGUGAAGAAACAUCCACAGAGAUCAGACGUAUGUGGUGUAACAAGUCAGAGGAAGAAGAGAAAGAGAAAUUCAUCCCUACAUCCAAAAGUGAGACAGAGAAAUAUAAAGUGAGUCGAACACUAAGCUUUCUCAGGAGCCGGAUGGUCAACACCAAAAUAAAAAACAAGGUAAAUGCAGAGGUUUCCUCGGCUUUGCACCAGCUCUGCCUACUGCAGCAGCCUGUUAAAGCAGCUUGUGUAGUCUGUGAGGGAGCUGACAGUGAUGAACCGCUGCAGUGCACAUUCUAUACUGGCUUUGAUGUCACUUCCUGUCCAGACUGCGCCA
RNAcentral lists this long non-coding RNA (761 nucleotides) under Sinocyclocheilus anshuiensis. RNAcentral's name for it is "lncRNA (ENSSANG00000015496.1)". The record is from RNAcentral. Lineage: Eukaryota; Metazoa; Chordata; Actinopteri; Cypriniformes; Cyprinidae.